GUUCUCUCUGAGGUUGUUCAGGAUAAACGGGAGAGUCGUUUCACUCACACGAGAGAAACGGGGGCAGAGGAUUAAAGGGAAAAGUAGUGCCCCCCAAAGCUGAACUAUUUUAGAAAGGAAAGCAAAUUUAAAAAUCACUUUUCUGCGGAUUAAAAGGCCGGGAAACCGGCUCGUCGGAGGCACAAAGAAGUGAAGCUCUAAUUUUACGAAAUCGAAAUAUUUCCUCUUCGAAGAGUGUAAAAAAGGGAACUCCUUGCCUCCCUAUUCCCUGAAACACAACAAUAUUGAAAUAGCCCUACAAUGACCUCUAAGUGUUCAAGUCAAAGGAAGAGUUGCAUGCCUCUCUUUUUAAAUUAAAAGCUAGAAAUAAUUAAAUUUGGCGAGAGAGGAAGGUCAAAAGCCAUGAUAGGCUGAAAGCUAGGCCUCUGUGCCAAAGAGUUGGCCAAGUUGUGAGUUCAAAGGAAAAGUUCUUGAAGGAAAUUAAAAGUGCUGCCUCAGUGAACACAUGAAAAAUGAUAAAAACAAGGAAACAGCCUUAAUGCUGAUGUGGAGAAAGUUCUAGUUGGUCUGGAUAGAAGAUCAAGCCAGCCACAACAUUCCCUUAAGCCAAAGCCUAAUCCAGAGCAAGGUCCUAACUCUCUUCAAUUCUACAAAGGCUGAGAGAGAUGAGGAAGCUGCAGAAGAGAAGUUGGAAGCAGUGCUUGCUUAUUGCUGUACCUGCUGCAGUUGCUUUCAGCUGGAGGAAAUUUAUGCUGUUUGUGUCUCAGAAAAUCUGCAAAACAUGCUGGUGACCAGUGCCUCUGGGGAGCUUGAAGACUGCAGAGAUGUUCUCUACGGGCUCUUGGGACAAUGGGGAAAAUUAUGUUUCACUGCGGUCUAUUGGAGAUUUUGGAAACUUGAACUCUGAUAGAGGGUUUGAAGGAGACAAUCAAUUACUGUGUGAUAUUAGACACUAUGGUGAUAUAAUGGAUUGACAGUUGUCUGACCAGGAAAGAAUUGUAGCUGCUUCAUCAACAGGAUGUGUAUCAGUUUUCCUUCAUCAUCUGAAUAACCAGACUCUUUCAGUCAACCAGCUGUGAACUACAGCUCAUUACCACACAGGCCCAGAAAGUCCUUCGUGUAGCAGUGCACCACGUACAGCUGUUGUGUGGAACAACCCAGAAAUCAUUAACGUUGGAGACAAUGGUUGAAUAAAUCUCUUCAAAGCUUAUCACAAGGAAACCGUAAGAACUGUAGGCAAUGCGGAUAGUAGUAUACUCUAUGCUGUAAUCUUUCUUAGAACUCUUGAGAGAUUCUUACUGUAAAUUCGAUUGGACAGUUAAAAAUAUGGGAUUUCACACAACAAGGAAAUGAGCCUUCUCAGAUAUUGUCACUGACCGGUGACUGAGUGCCAUUCCAUUGCAUUGAUAGAAAUCUCACCAAACAGCAUGUUGUAGCUCCUGGUGGCCAGGAUGGAAUGUUGAGUAUUUGGAAUGUUAGACAAGGUACUAUGCCUGUAUCUUCGCUGAAGAAUUACGAAGCUAAAAUGUAGGAAGUUCACUUUCACCCAUUAAACCCAGAUCCUCCAUUUAUUGUUCUGAAGAUGAAUUCCUCUGACAUUGGGAUGUUUCCACAGAUGUACCAUCACUCUUUCACCAAGGAGGAAGAGCUAGUACUUUUUUGUCUCAUAGCAUUAGUAAGCAAGCUAAUGUUCACCAGUCUCUCAAAGUUCUUGGCUCAGCACUGAUCCUACAAAAGACCAAAUUGAAAUCACAAGCUUACUUCUCAACCCUGUCUGUGAACCGUUUGGAUGCGUUUUUGUCAUCUUUAUCCUUGUCUUGUUUGUGGAACUGAUGCAGAAGCAGUUUAUAGUACUGGACAACUUUUUUCAUAAACUACUGUAAUUAUAAGAUUUUAGAUAAAUGUAUAAUUGGCCUUUUGAAUUCCACCUUUUGUGCAAAAUUUUAUUAUCAGAAAAUGUGACAUUUGCAGGGGAAACAUCAGUAAGCUACCGUCAGUGUCAAUGCCCAGCUUUGGCUUUUGUUAGCUGGAUAUUCCCACAACAGUUGCAGAAUCUGAUAGAUGACCGAUGGUAAAACAUGUGAACAUGCGGAAGAACAUCAGAGGGAUUCUGGUGCCAAUGAAUAAUACAUUGCCUUCAGACAAUUAUUGACAGCUCAUGGAACUAUUUCUUCAUUUUUGAUGUUGUGGGACUUAACCCAACAUCAGUGGUAGGUAGGGGAACAACCAAGAGGUUUCUAUAAUUUUUAUCAGUAUGUAUACUCCUUCCUAGUGGCAAUUGCCAGUGUUAAUGAUUAUUCUUUUUAUUGAAAAUAUUUUCUAUAGUCCUUCUACACUUUAUUUCCUUAAUAAUUUUAAUAAACUUUUAAAGGAA
Molecule: long non-coding RNA, 2374 nt
Organism: Macaca fascicularis (crab-eating macaque)
Lineage: Eukaryota; Metazoa; Chordata; Mammalia; Primates; Cercopithecidae
Source: Ensembl